ACAGACUCAUCUGAGCUUCUUCCUCCUCUGUUCCAGCUUUAAAUUAAACAAAAUGAUCACUUGAAUACUAAAGCAACAUUAAUCAUUCAAUAUCACAUGAUUCUAACACACAUGCUGCAUUAUUUGAUUGUAAAAUCGGGGAAUUAAGGUUGUGGAUCUUCAUCUACACUGUAAGGUGGAACAGAAGAGAAGAUAAUCAGAGUUCAAUUUCAAUCAUUUUUUUUUUUUUUUUUUUU
Long non-coding RNA from Labeo rohita (rohu), 236 nucleotides. RefSeq lists it as uncharacterized. NCBI's taxonomy places the organism in Eukaryota, Metazoa, Chordata, Actinopteri, Cypriniformes, Cyprinidae. The record is from RefSeq and is a predicted model, not a curated record. The transcript is spliced from 2 exons.